Long non-coding RNA from Peromyscus leucopus (white-footed mouse), 1625 nucleotides. RefSeq lists it as uncharacterized. The record is from RefSeq and is a predicted model, not a curated record. The transcript has 3 exons. Lineage: Eukaryota; Metazoa; Chordata; Mammalia; Rodentia; Cricetidae.
AUUUUGAAACUUAGGCCUGUUUCAAGCUGGGGUGAGGGGCUUGCUUGAAAUGGGGGUGCUUUGGUUCUUCAACUUCAUUGAAUAUUAAUUGUGUCCUGAAAGCCAUACCCCCUAAUACUAAUAACGUAAUUAUGUGAUUGAAUUUCCAACACUUGAGCUUUGGGAAGAAACACACAAACCAAGAAGUAAUACUGUACCCCAUAACUUGGAGAUGGUGGCUCAUACCUGUGAUCUCAACAAGCGAAUUGGAAGUUCAGUGUCAUCCUCAGGUGCACAUGAAGCUCAAGGGCAGCCUGGGUUGAGGAUCUUGUUUCACAGGAGCAAUAACAACAGCAGAAACAAAACUACUCUUGAAGAGUAGCUUGUUCAAAAGAGAGAAUGCACAAGUAACUUUGUGCUGGAUAAACUAAACAUUCCCUCGAGCUGGAUGAUCAAGGUUCAAAUCAAGAAUGGAUCAAGACGUGAGUCCUCAGCUGUUCCUUCCACCAUGCCUUUGUGUUACCAUCAUAGACUCUGACCUUCUGAAACCAUAAAGCCAAUUAAAUAUUGUUUUAUAAUUUGCCUUGGUCAUGGUGUUCUGUCACAACAGUAGGAAAGUAACUAAGACACCAGAUGAUAGAAUAUUAUUCAGUAAUAAAAAGAAAUAUCAAUCCAUGAAAAUCAGAAAAACUAUUACAAAGUGGGAAAAAAAGCCCACAGUUCAUGUAAAAAUUGCACAGUUUUAAUCAUGUGUCCUUCUAGAAAAGGGCAAACUAGAAGACAGUAAAAUAAUCUAUGACUGUCAGAAGUUACAAAGGGAGGGGUAAACAGGAACACGGAGUAUUGCUAGAGCAGGGAAAAAAAUUCUGCAUGAUAUUCUGUUGGUGGAUAAAUGAGAUUAUUUCUCUAAAAUAAUAGAACAAAAUAACAAAAAUGACUCCAACCUAAAAGCUCUGGACCUUUUUGAGUGAUAAAAACAUGUCAAUGUAGAUUUAGUUGCAAUGAUUAUAUCACUGUGGUACAGACUUUUGAUGAGAGGGAAGGUACCUUGUUCAAGAAGAGGAAGAGGAUAACAUAUAUUUCUGGAGCUACCAAUAAUUUUUGCUAUGACUGUAAAAUUGUAUAAAAAAGUCAACUAAGGCAUUUUAAAGUAAAAGAAAAAUAUGAUAGGCAAAGUAGACAGCCUGUGUAUAUAGGCCAUCUGUUUGAAGAUGUCUAGCAUCAUGAGAAGAAUAGAAAUCAAGUGGGAACAAUUAACCUGCAGUCAAUUUCUGUGGUUAUUAAACUAAUGACUCUUGAAACUGGUGUUGAGAACUCAUUUACUAUGCUUUCUUGAUUAUAUUCUAGUUAUAAUCUCAUCUCUGUUCCAGCUCUCUCAUUCUUUUAUUCACCUAUUUAACAAACUAUGGAUAUGCCAUAAUUAUGGCACUAUGGUGUAGAAGAUAAAAGCUGUUUCUAGAACUUAUAAUAGAGGUGGUAUGCAUACAUUUUGUGUGAUAGAAUGGAUUUAAAAAGUUAAAUAAGACUGGGGAAACACAUUUUAGUCAUUAACAUUGCUUCCUACCUGGACAGUGAGCCUGUAGGUCCCUCUGUAAAGUGUGAACUUUUUAACAAUAUUGAUUAUUCUAAUAAAUGAACACAGGAUG